UCGUUUUUGUUUUAUAAAACCAUUUUCGUUUUGUGUGUGUUUUGUUUAGUUAUUCAGAGAACGUUUUCUGUUUAGGUAGUUCUAGUGAGCAUAUUCAUUAGUUAGCGUUCGGCAGCGAACGUUUGUUAGAUAGGUUUUUCUUUUUCUGUUUUAAUUUCAGCCAGGGACCUAGAUGUAAUUAUCUUUCUUACAGAUUAGUCCCUCUACUUCAAACGGGCCACAUCUUUUUAUCCGUUUAUCCAAAUUCAACGAAACCAACGCCCACUUCUUCAUUAUGAUCCCCUCUAUCCAGUAAUCCAACUCAAACAUGUUUUUGAAAGUUUAAAAUUUGAAUUAGACCAGAUUUGAAUUCAAACUUUGUUUGAUCGUAACUUGAGUUUCGUAGCUCCGUUUGAGUUGAUUCUUUUUGCAAAUCGAGCUCUUGACCUAAACUUUCUGAUAAGGCCAAAUUGACAUAAUUUUGGUACUGUUAGAAAUUGUUUUAUGUUGCAAGAGUUAUUUACCUUGGCUCUGAUGUUUUCCGAAUUGUCCUUUUCGUUCUUUCCGAUCUUUUGAGUGAUUGCUUAUGUGUGGUUACCAUUGCUUGCUUAUGAUAGAUUGACCAGAGUGUGAAGAGUAGAUCUAUCAAGAGUUUUGAGUGCGAAUCAUCUUCAUCAACAGUACAGGCAAGUUCACACUUUGAUCAUAUCCCUUUCAUACCCAGUUUUUAUGCAUUAGUUUCAACCCCUCAAACAUUGCAUGAGUAGGAUUGACAACAUGUGGGAAUUGGGAAGUAGAUGAUGAGGUAGGAACCUAUUGCCCUUUUAUUCAACCCUUGGGAGUUACUUCUACGUUAUGCUUAUAUCGCCAUGCUAUGCUCGUAGACGUGGAUUGGGUUUGAGAGUAUCCAUGACAGAUGUGAGAUUGUUAUUUAAUGGUUAACUUAAGGUGGCUACUUUAAUACACAUCUGGGUGGAUUGAUUGGGGCACCCUGGAGUACCCAGUGGUUUGCCCGGGCACCUGGAGAACCCAAUGCUUGCCCAAGGGAAUCCCGGAGGACCCGUGUGAUUACCCUAUGGAAUGCCACCCAGGCUCAAAGGGAUCAUAAGAUUAUUCAUGCUAGAAACUUCCGUGUGCAGCCACAAGCCAUUAUGGGCUCUAGCAUAGUUGAGUAAGUUGUGUGAGCUCUUGAAGAGGUGGACUAGCAGAUGUAGGGGGAUUGUAGGUGUAACGGUCUGCCCGGAGUAGAGAGUAAAUGCUUCUGAAAGACUUUGUCUCGAUCAUCCGUUUCUCAAACACCAUGUAGUGCGAGAAAUCAAACGGAGGAGAUCGAGUCUUGUGGGGAAAAGUGCGCAAACCUCUGCAAAGUGUACAAACUAAUCAUGAUUAGCCGUGUCCCCGGUUAUGGACAUCUUGAGUAUCUAUUUCAUGGAUUAUCAUGUCGAUCUCAACACUUUAUUUAAUUAACUUGAUUGGGUUAAUGAUUAUUACGUUGGGAUUGAGUUGGAGGAACCUUCUCAAUAUUUUAUCAACCAACUUUGUAGUUAAAUAAAAUAUAUUCCUUUGUAGUAGGGAAAAAUUGGCUUUUCGCAAAAACUUUAUAACCAUAGAGCCUUUCCACCAACCAUAUAUGCAUGUAGUGAUAGUUAUUAUUCAUCAUUAUCCUAUGGUGUGAAUUUGCCAGUACAUUCAAUGUACUGACCCUUUGUGGCUGCAACGUCUCAUGUUGCAGGAUAUCUUACGACGAGUAAGUGAUACGUUAGGGUUAUGAUUUCUACACUCAACUCUGCCGUUGGUGUUGAUGGGAAUCCACGACCUUGUUGUUACUUCCGCUAUUUGGAUUGAGGUAAUAGUAUUUUUGUUACUUUAUACAUGUGAUUUACCUCUGUUAUAAAUCCUCGAGUACUGUGUGUGUCAGCAUACCGAUCCAGGGAUGACACUUAAGCACAGAGACUUGACCGUCUGAGGUCGGGUCGCUACAAGAUGGUAUCAGAGCACUUGUUGACUGUAGGACGUGACCCUAGAAACUGGCAAGCCCAUAGGAAAGAUUUUCUCUACAACUUUCUUUUCAAAAGAUCUUUUACCUCUCUUCUCUUCUGAGCUUAUUCAAAUAUUCCCUUUUAGUUAGACUAUACCCCCUUUCCCCUUUUAACCACACGAAGAUUCAACUAAUGCGACCACUCCAAGAAGUACAAGACAUCGGACAACCAAGACCACUUCGGAAUGAAGAGGAUUUUACCGUGCAUUAUGAUAAUGGAAACUACAACGGUUGAAGACUCCGAAGGCUAGGAGGAUUUGAAGGCUCUGAAGAAUUCCCAUAUUUGUAUGACCUAGGAAGGCUACCCUUAUGGAACUUGGCAGACUAUGGAAGCUGUCUAUACCCGAGAUCAAGAUGUAUCGGAGAAAGACCGGAACAUGGAGCAUUAGAACUCAAAGUUUUUGUCAAUAAAACCCUAAGACAGGAGAUAUGAAUUAUGGAAUGAUAGCUCAUGGCAAUGACAAGGGCAGAAACACGGCUAUCCAUGGUAUUAUCGCCCGCUUAUGCUAUUGGCAUCGUAAUGAGUUAAGCAUGCAUUUUUUUGGAAGGAUUGGAUGGGAGAAUGCUGAUGGAGCACCUAUCAGCAAAAGAUGAAGUUUAACCUUAGCUGGUGUAUCACCUGGAUCUUGAGAAUUACAUCAGGAGUUUUAAGAUGGACCUGCAGGAAGCCGUAUUUUGACAAAGAAGAAUUUCAUGAAGAACUCGGGACCAGAAAAUGAAAGUAGCCAAGCUGGAGGAGCAAAACCUCGAGAUACCGGAGAUUCGUCAGGAACUGAAGGACAGUAGGACCAUGGUUCAUGCCAAGGAUGUUAAACCCAGAAGUUUGGAACGCAACUCCAGAAAUAUUAAAGGACGUCACGAUAGACUUUGCGACAACAGAGAUGAUCUGGCAAAAGAACUUGAGUAGGACAAGCAUGAUCGAAAGAAGCCAUCGGAGACAUGAACAAGAAUCGAAGAGUUUGAUGACUUUGAAGAUUUAUUGACCUUUAGAAGAACAAACCCCUGUUAUAUACCUACGUAGAUGCGACGAUUGUGAGCUGUCAUUUGUUUGAUGUUUUUCGACAGCCACAAUAAAAAUCUGUCUUUUCAAAACUUUUGGUUGUAUUGUGUGCAUCCCUCUCUAUCUCUCUUAUCCCACCCCAGAGCCCUUAGAACCAAUAGAGGAUGAAUGGAGAUGAGCUUGUAUUUUCUGGACCGAUGAGUCAAUUGGAGACAGACCGAUGGAUUCAGAACAUGGAAGAUCAUAUGAAGAAUAACACUAUAGCUGGAAAGGAUAUGACCCAUCAUGCUCUUCAGUGCUUUGAAAGAGGUGCUGCUACUUGGUGGAGGAUGUACCAAACCAUGAAGGGAUGGCAAGGAGUAACCACUUGGAAGGAAUUUAAGUUGACUCUGCUAAAAUUUCGGUUUGUGUCCCAAAAAUUGAAGCCUUAUGGAAAGGAUAUGAAGAAAACUUGUGCAUGCAAGCUUUGUGGAGAAAUAGGACACAACAAUAAAGAACACAAGGAUGAAUGCCCUCAUUGUGAAGGAAGUCACCCAGCUGAAGAAUGCCCAACUAGGCAGAUUACUUGUUCUUAUGUGAAGGGACUACCCACUACCCUGCUCAGUGUCACAUUUACCCCAUGGUACAAAGAACCAUCCAGCAGAAGAAAGAAGCAAUGAAAGGAGCCCUCACGGAAAUUCUAGAAGAAACAGUGAUGAAGGAAGAGGUGGAGGACACACCCAAAGAAGAACCAAUUAAACCCUGCACCAAGUCAUGCUAUUCAUGUGGAGAAGAAGGACACAUCUCCCAGAAUUGUAUGAAUGGGGAUCUAGUAGAAUUCCCGACGGAGGAAGUAGAGUAUGACCCCCCAGGAAAUAGAAGCCCUGUUUGGAACGGAAAAGUCCAGGAAGAGAAGUAGAUUGGAUUCCAGGAAGGACCUUAGUCAUGUCACCUGUUUCAGGUGCAAGGAGUCAGGGCACUACCUCAGCAGUUGCCCAAAAAGGAAGCCAAGGACCCAAGGAGGCUAUAUAAUCACAAGGAAACCUCGAGACUUGUCAGAAGUAUUAUGUUUCCGUUGUGAUGAAGUAGGGUACUUUGCCAGAGAUUGUCCCAAGGAGGAGACUUGUGAUAAAUAGUUGAGUCUGUGAGAAGUAUAGUAGUAGUAGUGAGAACAUUUUCCUUUAUCUUGAGGCGAUGAGUUGAGGCAUGUAAUGGAAAAGCAAGAGAAUUGUAAUCGUUGGAGAAUCAAUAAAGUUAGCAUCGUUAGUAUUGAUUGGAUUUUAUGAGUUGUUACCCUAUGAAGAAAGAUUUUGACCAUUUUCGAGGAUAUGAGAAAUAUGGUCUAUGGAAGAAUUUGUGCAUUUCAAGGGUGGUAGUACCCUAUGAGGAGAUUUGACCCCUAGAGAGGAUAAUGAUGUUCCACGAAGUGGACUUCAUAAGUACGAGUUUUAUCUCGAUAUGUGGGAUAUCCCAAGAGUAUGAAGGGAGGAAUACUAUUGGAUAUAAAGGAGAUAUGAUGUUGGUAAUAUGGAGCAAUCGUAACUCCAUGAUGAGUAGUUUGGUGCCAAUAGAAGGAAGGGAGACAGUACAAUUGGAUGGAUUUAAGAAUGCUGGAAGCUUGAUGUUGGAAUAAUGAUCAGUUGUCCCAAGGAUGAGAUCAAUGCUUACAAGUGAUGAGAUGGGCCAUAACCCACAGGCCCCAGGACUUGCCAAGAAGCAAGCACAUUCUUGCUGAAGGAAAAACCCUGGAAGAAGUUACGAUUUUAUCAACAGACGAUUUUAUAGGAGUAACGCAAAACCUAAGAGUUGUGAAGAAACGAUAGAUGUUUGUUUGGCUUGCAGAAUCAAUGGAUUUUUCCGAACUUGGUUCGUCGACAAGAUAAACAUCUGCAAUGCUUGUGAGGAUGACCGAGUGUUAGAUUGCGAGGUUCGCUAAACCAUAUAUCAGGUAAUGAUUUGGGUGCGGGAUGGAUUGAUCACCAUACCGACUUACUCUUAUUAUUCGCCUUGCUAUAUGGGAUGGUAAAUCUGAGUGACUUGCCUAUAGUGGAGAGACGACGAUCAAAACCUUGUUUGAACCUUAGAAUGGUAUAAGUAUUUUUCCCUUGUACAAGGCAGCUUUUGCCAACCAUAGGUUAUACGGUGAGGAUCAACUAGACCCAUUUCCUGCAGGAGAAACCAUAAAUCGUUGACCACCAUGAGAUAUCGAUAGUUGUUUAGUUUUGGCGCCAGACCCGUCAGCUAAGAAGACCCAGUCAUGGAAGAACCUUACCAAGAUGAAAGGACAGAAGAAUUGUGGUAAAGGUUAUGCCACUAUCGGAAGAUCCGAGAGAAGGAAUUAUCCUGAAGAUCUGAGAAGACCGACACUGUCAACAAUAAGGAUGAAGUAUAUGAGUAUUGAUGAGACUAUAACGAUGUUUCUAAAGGGUGGUAGCACCCCAAACCCCGGUGAUGAUCGAUGGAUUUUGAGAAGACCCCCAAACCUAACAUAUUUCUUGCUAGCCUCUCCGAAUCUCGAGGACGAGAUUCAUUUUAAGGGUGGUAGGUUUGUAACAUCCCAAAGUUCUAAAUUUUGGAAUGUUAUAAUAAAAAGAUAGAUUUGAUUGAUUGUUUGAUUGAUUGACUGAAAGUGAGUGAAUUCGAAACUUUUUGAAAGUUAAAUGAGAGAGAAUAAAAGGACUUUCCCAAACUUUCACCUUUUUUGCAUUUUGAUCUUUGUGAAUUCAAAAAUCUUUUCAAAUACAAAACCCUCGAGAGAAGAUGACAUGACUUCUUCCAUUUAAUUAAAUGAGAAGGGUAUUUGAAAAUAUUUGAAUCUCAUUCGAAAAUAUUUCCAAUUCAUAAAACUUCAAGCAACUCAAUGAUUCUCAUGAGAGAAGAUAAAAUGACUUCUUCAAACAUAUGAAAUAUGAGUUGGGAGUUUAAAAGGAUUAAGUUUAAAAUCGCUUUUGAAAUUAUUUUCAUUUGGAGUUAUUUGGGUUUUAUUCAAUUAUUUUUCUCCAAAAUAAAAAUAUAUGGAAAAUAGGGUAACCUGAUUCCCUACAUCAAAAAAUUGGAGAUAAAUAAAUUUGAAAUCAUUUUGGUAUUUUUAAAAUGAUUUUUACUGGAUUUUACUAGAGCAGUAGCACUCUUUGCUUUAUUUAAAUUUUUGUGGAUUUUAUUUGGCAUUAUAAAAAUGUCCAUGUUGUAGAAAAUCUUUUUCUUCAAAUUCUGGUAUAUUACAUGCCUAUAUAAUAUUUUUGUUUAUUUUGUUUUAUUUAUUUUAGUUUGUCUAGAUAAAUGUUAAAAAAACAAAUCUUCCGCCGACUGGGCCGGCCCAGUUCCAGCCAGGCCGCGGCCCAGCCAGCCCGCGUCGCUCAUCCCCGAGCUCCGCUCGGUCUCCCGAGCCAGUACGAGAGCGCCGCCGCCGCCGUGACCGCCUCCAACUCCCGCCGCGCCUCCCUUGCCCCCUCCUCCACGUCUCGAUCCCCUCCCCUUCUAUAAAUAACUCCGCCCCAGCCCCGCCUCUCUCUCCCCUCGCAGAAGCCGUCGCCGCCCUCGCAUCUCGCGCCUCGCCGUCGCCGGUGAGAUCCGCCGCAACUGCCACCAUCGCUGCUUCUCGCCGCUGCUCCGCGCUGUGCCAACGCCGCUGCAUAGCCAAGCCGCCCGCCUCUGCCCGCCGCCCGACGCGCUGCCCCUCCCCAUCCCCUCCGCCGAGCCGGAGGAUCGCCGGAGCCGUCACCGCUGAACCGUCACGGUCGUCUUCCUCACCGUCGACGCCGCCCCGUCGAAAACCGCCCCGGGUUUUUUUGACGAAAACCGCCUACGGUAUAAAACCGUCCCGGUUUCCUCGUUUUUGUUUUAUAAAACCGUUUUCGUUUUUUGUGUGUUUUGUUUAGUUAUUCAGAGAACGUUUUCUGUUUAGGUAGUUCUAGUGAGCAUAUUCAUUAGUUAGCGUUCGGCAGUGAACGUUCGUUAGAUAGGUUUUUCUUUUUCUGUUUUAAUUUCGGCGAGUGACCUAGAUGUAAUUAUCUUUCUUACAGAUUAGUCCCUCUGUUUCAAACGGGCCACAUCUUUUUACCCGUUUAUCGAAAUUCAACGAAACCAACGCCCACUUCUUCAUUAUGAUCUCCUCUAUCUAGUAAUCCAACUCAAACAUGUUUUUGAAAGUUUAAAAUUUGAAUUAGACCAGAUUUGAAUUCAAAUUUUGUUUGAUCGUAACUUGAGUUUCGUAGCUCCGUUUGAGUUGAUUCUUUUUGCAAAUCGAAGCUCUUGACCUAAACUUUCUGAUAAGGCCAAAUUGACAUAAUUUUGGUACUGUUAGAAAUUGUUUUAUGUUGCAAGAGUUAUU
This 7326-nucleotide long non-coding RNA is filed under the name Triticum aestivum (bread wheat). RNAcentral describes it as "long non-coding RNA (TAES_LNC004599)". The record is from RNAcentral. Lineage: Eukaryota; Viridiplantae; Streptophyta; Magnoliopsida; Poales; Poaceae.